GGGGAUUUAGCUCAGUGGUAGAGCAUUUGCCUGGCAUGCACAGGCCUGGGUUUAACUCCCAGCACUG
RNAcentral lists this transfer RNA (67 nucleotides) under Marmota monax (woodchuck). Its description in RNAcentral is "tRNA.Ala". The stretch from base 8 to 62 matches the Rfam family "tRNA", at positions 8 to 63 of the family's 71-position model. Rfam says of the family: Transfer RNA (tRNA) molecules are approximately 80 nucleotides in length. Their secondary structure includes four short double-helical elements and three loops (D, anti-codon, and T loops). Lineage: Eukaryota; Metazoa; Chordata; Mammalia; Rodentia; Sciuridae. The record is from RNAcentral.